This 284-nucleotide long non-coding RNA is filed under the name Vitis vinifera (wine grape). RNAcentral's name for it is "long non-coding RNA (VVIN_LNC003159)". Lineage: Eukaryota; Viridiplantae; Streptophyta; Magnoliopsida; Vitales; Vitaceae. The record is from RNAcentral.
GUGGGGCGCCAUGGGAGGCCUGAGGUGUAUAGCCAAUAGACGACCCCAGCUUGGCUCUACCCACUGGCCUUUGCUUGACCUGCGUUAGUCUCGAUGGUCGAUGGGUGACUCUGCGAAUCCAUGCGGGGUCAAGAGGGGCACCCACCAGACCACCCAAAGGGUGAGCCCCUGGUGGGCCUAUUCAUGUGAUCAUCACUGUCUUUUCUACUCCUCUCUCCUACAAGGCUACAACUCAGCCGAUACGGUAUUUAAAUAUAUUUGUUUGCCUACCGCAGAAUUAUCAG